UUUUUUUCACCCAUGUCUUUUGCGCACUUGUUGUUUCCUGGGCGGGUUCGCCCGCCACCAGGACCAAACCAUAAACCUUUUUUUUAUGCAGUUGCAAUCAGCGUCAGUAAAAACAAUGUAAUUAUUACAACUUUCAACAACGGAUCUCUUGGUUCUGGCAUCGAUGAAGAACGCAGCGAAAUGCGAUACGUAGUGUGAAUUGCAGAAUUCAGUGAAUCAUCGAAUCUUUGAACGCACAUUGCGCCCUUUGGUAUUCCAAAGGGCAUGCCUGUUCGAGCGUCAUUUGUACCUUCAAGCUUUGCUUGGUGUUGGGCGUUUUUUGUCUCCCUCUUUCUGGGAGACUCGCCUUAAAACGAUUGGCAGCCGGCCUACUGGUUUCGGAGCGCAGCACAUAUUUUGCGCUUUGUAUCAGGAGAAAAGGACGGUAAUCCAUCAAGACUCUACAUUUUUAACUUUUGACCUCGGAUCAGGUAGGGAUACCCGCUGAACUUAAG
Molecule: ribosomal RNA, 494 nt
Filed under: Bipolaris sorokiniana
Lineage: Eukaryota; Fungi; Ascomycota; Dothideomycetes; Pleosporales; Pleosporaceae
Description: eukaryotic LSU rRNA
Rfam family: 5.8S ribosomal RNA (bases 129-282)
Source: RNAcentral